Molecule: non-coding RNA, 24 nt
Filed under: Arabidopsis thaliana (thale cress)
Lineage: Eukaryota; Viridiplantae; Streptophyta; Magnoliopsida; Brassicales; Brassicaceae
Source: RNAcentral
GGCUCUGCGGAUUUUGAGGCCAAU